GGCCGCCUCUUUUUCUCUCAUUCUUCACUCUCUAACCCUAGAACUCUAGAAGAUUUCUUCCUGUCUCCUUUCUCCUCCCCAAGCUAGCAAAGCCUCCAACCCUUCUCCUAUCUCUACCCAUCCUGUCGCCUCCAGCCUUGAACCCCGUUCUCAUUCCCGUCGCCCCGCCCUAGCGGUCACCUCCGCCCGCCAUCCACGCCUUCUUCCAUAAGAAGAUUUAACUAUGGACAAAGGAUUGGGCCAAAGUUCCUCCCUUCGUACUUGGAAAUAUGAGCAAGAAUGUAAAUAAAACUUUGAAGUUAUUGAUGAUUGAAUACUUGUAGUGAAAUCUCAAUUAGUUGUUGAAACUUAGAAGCUGGAAGCAUAGAAGACUUGAAUGUUUAUAAUUUGUUGAGGAGUAAAACUUUAUUUUAGUUGA
This is a long non-coding RNA of Salvia splendens (bonfire salvia), 418 nucleotides long. RefSeq lists it as uncharacterized. The record is from RefSeq and is a predicted model, not a curated record. NCBI's taxonomy places the organism in Eukaryota, Viridiplantae, Streptophyta, Magnoliopsida, Lamiales, Lamiaceae. The transcript has 2 exons.